Molecule: ribosomal RNA, 253 nt
Filed under: uncultured bacterium
Lineage: Bacteria
Description: partial 16S ribosomal RNA
Rfam family: Bacterial small subunit ribosomal RNA
Source: RNAcentral
GACGUAGGGCGCGAGCGUUGUCCGGAUUUAUUGGGCGUAAGGAGCUCGUAGGCGGUUUGUCGCGUCGUUCGUGAAAACUCACAGCUUAACUGUGAGCUUGCGGUCGAUACGGGCAGGCUAGAGUUCGGUAGGGGAGGCUGGAAUUCCUGGUGUAGCGGUGAAAUGCGCAGAUAUCAGGAGGAACACCGGUGGCGAAGGCGGGUCUCUGGGCCGAUACUGACGCUGAGGAGCGAAAGCGUGGGGAGCGAACAGG